RNAcentral lists this ribosomal RNA (504 nucleotides) under uncultured bacterium. Its description in RNAcentral is "bacterial SSU rRNA". It matches the Rfam family "Bacterial small subunit ribosomal RNA", at positions 10 to 507 of the family's 1533-position model. The record is from RNAcentral.
AGUUUGAUCCUGGCUCAGAGCGAACGUUAGCGGCGGGCUUAACACAUGCAAGUCGAGCGAGAAAGGGCUUCGGCCCUGAGUACAGCGGCGGACGGGUGAAUAACACGUAGGUAACCUUCCUUCCAGCGGGGGACAACGGUCCGAAAGGACCGCUAAUACCGCAUACGUUCCCUGGGACCCUGGUCCCGGGGAGGAAAGCUCCGCAAGGGGCACUGGAUGAGGGGCCUGCGUAGCAUCAGCUAGUUGGUGGGGUAAUGGCCUACCAAGGCUAAGACGCUUAGCUGGUCUGAGAGGAUGAUCAGCCACACUGGGACUGAGACACGGCCCAGACUCCUACGGGAGGCAGCAGUGGGGAAUAUUGGACAAUGGGCGCAAGCCUGAUCCAGCCACGCCGCGUGAGUGAUGAAGGCCUUCGGGUCGUAAAGCUCUGUGGGGAGGGACGAAUGGCGCCGUGAAGAGCGGCGAGUGACGGUACCUCCUUAGCAAGCACCGGCUAACUUCGUG